Long non-coding RNA from Engraulis encrasicolus (European anchovy), 510 nucleotides. RefSeq lists it as uncharacterized. The record is from RefSeq and is a predicted model, not a curated record. Lineage: Eukaryota; Metazoa; Chordata; Actinopteri; Clupeiformes; Engraulidae. The transcript has 3 exons.
CUCUUAAACUAUAAAUACGCAAUCAAAAUAUCAUACAGUAAGUAGGUUUGAAGGUGGCAUUGUUGUACAAAGAGGUGUUUUAGCCUCAUUGUCUAAUCCUGUUGUCUAGGGUUACAAAAAGGUGUUAACCGUGACGCUGAAAGCCCAGGGUACUUCCUCUCAGAGCACAGAGCAAUUUCACUCAAUCUCACUCCUGUUAUCCAAGUGCAGUGCUAUGCUUCAGGUAAAGAUGAUUCGCCUAAUAGUAUUGAUUGGACUCUCCAGUCACUGUACAGGUAUUGGACCAGCAGCUCGACCAGACAACGGCGUUGUUGCCUUCACUGCGAUGCCUCCUACAGAAACAGGUAGCCCAACAAUUGUAACGUUGAGAAUUGUUGUGGAAUCCCUAGAAGACAUGAAUGAAUCUACUGCACAAGCCACUUUAGAUGAGGUAAGAUUAACAGCUGGAGCCCUGCUAAAUUGUACCCACUUUUGGACAUAAAUACUUAAUAAUAUGCCCCAAGGCACUAG